AACGAACGCUGGCGGCAUGCCUAACACAUGCAAGUCGAACGAGACCUUCGGGUCUAGUGGCGCACGGGUGCGUAACGCGUGGGAACCUGCCCUUAGGUUCGGAAUAACUCCCCGAAAGGGGUGCUAAUACCGGAUAAUGUCUUCGGACCAAAGAUUUAUCGCCUUUGGAUGGGCCCGCGUUGGAUUAGCUAGUUGGUAGGGUAAAAGCCUACCAAGGCGACGAUCCAUAGCUGGUCCGAGAGGAUGAUCAGCCACACUGGGACUGAGACACGGCCCAGACUCCUACGGGAGGCAGCAGUGGGGAAUAUCGGACAAUGGGCGAAAGCCUGAUCCAGCAAUGCCGCGUGAGUGAUGAAGGCCUUAGGGUUGUAAAGCUCUUUUACCCGGGAUGAUAAUGACAGUACCGGGAGAAUAAGCUCCGGCUAACUCCGUG
RNAcentral lists this ribosomal RNA (433 nucleotides) under uncultured bacterium. RNAcentral describes it as "partial 16S ribosomal RNA". It matches the Rfam family "Bacterial small subunit ribosomal RNA", at positions 29 to 507 of the family's 1533-position model. The record is from RNAcentral.